RNAcentral lists this ribosomal RNA (497 nucleotides) under uncultured bacterium. RNAcentral describes it as "partial 16S ribosomal RNA". It matches the Rfam family "Bacterial small subunit ribosomal RNA", at positions 28 to 507 of the family's 1533-position model. The record is from RNAcentral.
GAUGAACGCUGGCGGCGUGCCUAAUACAUGCAAGUCGAGCGAACGGACGAGAAGCUUGCUUUUCUGAUGUUAGCGGCGGACGGGUGAGUAACACGUGGAUAACCUACCUAUAAGACUGGGAUAACUUCGGGAAACCGGAGCUAAUACCGGAUAAUAUUUUGAACCGCAUGGUUCAAAAGUGAAAGACGGUCUUGCUGUCACUUAUAGAUGGAUCCGCGCUGCAUUAGCUAGUUGGUAAGGUAACGGCUCACCAAGGCAACGAUGCAUAGCCGACCUGAGAGGGUGAUCGGCCACACUGGAACUGAGACACGGUCCAGACUCCUACGGGAGGCAGCAGUAGGGAAUCUUCCGCAAUGGGCGAAAGCCUGACGGAGCAACGCCGCGUGAGUGAUGAAGGUCUUCGGAUCGUAAAACUCUGUUAUUAGGGAAGAACAUAUGUGUAAGUAACUGUGCACAUCUUGACGGUACCUAAUCAGAAAGCCACGGCUAACUACGUG